This 524-nucleotide ribosomal RNA is filed under the name Pteruthius xanthochlorus (green shrike-babbler). RNAcentral's name for it is "partial 16S ribosomal RNA". It matches the Rfam family "Bacterial large subunit ribosomal RNA", at positions 1843 to 2576 of the family's 2925-position model. The record is from RNAcentral. Lineage: Eukaryota; Metazoa; Chordata; Aves; Passeriformes; Timaliidae.
GUAUUGAAGGUGAUGCCUGCCCGGUGACCUAGUGUUCAACGGCCGCGGUAUCCUAACCGUGCAAAGGUAGCGCAAUCAAUUGUCUCAUAAAUCGAGACUAGUAUGAAUGGCUAAACGAGGUCUUAACUGUCUCUUACAGGCAAUCGGUGAAAUUGAUCUCCCUGUGCAAAAGCAGGGAUAAUAACAUAAGACGAGAAGACCCUGUGGAACUUCAAAAUCAGCGGCCACCCUACAUCACAUCCACACCCACUGGGUACACGCACCUACAGGCCUCUGGCACGCAUUUUUCGGUUGGGGCGACCUUGGAGAAAAACAGAUCCUCCAAAGAUUAGACCACACAUCUAGACUAAGAGCAACCUCUCAACGUGCUAAUAGCAACCAGACCCAAUAUAAUUGAUCAAUGGACCAAGCUACCCCAGGGAUAACAGCGCAAUCUCCUCCGAGAGUCCGUAUCGACGGGGAGGUUUACGACCUCGAUGUUGGAUCAGGACAUCCUAGUGGUGCAGCAGCUACUAAGGGUUCGU